This 75-nucleotide transfer RNA is filed under the name Candidatus Hippobium faecium. RNAcentral describes it as "tRNA-Cys". It matches the Rfam family "tRNA". Rfam says of the family: Transfer RNA (tRNA) molecules are approximately 80 nucleotides in length. Their secondary structure includes four short double-helical elements and three loops (D, anti-codon, and T loops). The record is from RNAcentral. Lineage: Bacteria; Bacillati; Armatimonadota.
GGAGACGUAGCCAAGUGGCUAAGGCAGCGGUCUGCAACACCGCCAUCACCAGUUCGACUCUGGUCGUCUCCUCCA